AUUGAACGCUGGCGGCAGGCCUAACACAUGCAAGUCGAGCGGUAACAUUUCUAGCUUGCUAGAAGAUGACGAGCGGCGGACGGGUGAGUAAUGCUUGGGAACAUGCCUUUAGGUGGGGGACAACCAUUGGAAACGAUGGCUAAUACCGCAUAAUGUCUACGGACCAAAGGGGGCUUCGGCUCUCGCCUUUAGAUUGGCCCAAGUGGGAUUAGCUAGUUGGUGAGGUAACGGCUCACCAAGGCGACGAUCCCUAGCUGGUUUGAGAGGAUGAUCAGCCACACUGGAACUGAGACACGGUCCAGACUCCUACGGGAGGCAGCAGUGGGGAAUAUUGCACAAUGGGCGCAAGCCUGAUGCAGCCAUGCCGCGUGUGUGAAGAAGGCCUUCGGGUUGUAAAGCACUUUCAGUCAGGAGGAAAGGUUAGUAGUUAAUACCUGCUAGCUGUGACGUUACUGACAGAAGAAGCACCGGCUAACUCCGUGC
This 483-nucleotide ribosomal RNA is filed under the name Pseudoalteromonas sp. RNAcentral's name for it is "bacterial SSU rRNA". It matches the Rfam family "Bacterial small subunit ribosomal RNA", at positions 30 to 508 of the family's 1533-position model. The record is from RNAcentral. Lineage: Bacteria; Pseudomonadati; Pseudomonadota; Gammaproteobacteria; Alteromonadales; Pseudoalteromonadaceae.